UACGAAGGGGGCUAGCGUUGCUCGGAAUUACUGGGCGUAAAGCGCACGUAGGCGGCUCUUUAAGUCGGAGGUGAAAUCCUGGAGCUCAACUCCAGAACUGCCUUCGAUACUGGAAGACUUGAGUCCGGGAGAGGUGAGUGGAACUGCGAGUGUAGAGGUGAAAUUCGUAGAUAUUCGCAAGAACACCAGUGGCGAAGGCGGCUCACUGGCCCGGUACUGACGCUGAGGUGCGAAAGCGUGGGGAGCAAACAGG
RNAcentral lists this ribosomal RNA (253 nucleotides) under uncultured bacterium. RNAcentral's name for it is "partial 16S ribosomal RNA". It matches the Rfam family "Bacterial small subunit ribosomal RNA", at positions 524 to 776 of the family's 1533-position model. The record is from RNAcentral.